AAAAGGGAUACAGGUGGAGAGUCGAGUGAGUCAUUAUCAGGAUGCAACCUGGAAACUGGAAGUGACAAGAUUGUAAACACAGACAAUAUUUGUCGAGAUACAGGAAGUGUAAACACACCUGAUUUACCAACAUGCUCUGGUGGUAGAGGCUCUGAAUUUAUUGGAAGAAAUGAAGAAAAUUUUCAAAGUCAGGCAUCUUGUGAGAAGAGCAUGGGAACGGGGUCUUCUCAAACUGUUCCACUUGGACUUGGACUGGGGGGUUUGGAACGACCGAGGCGAGGCAGGCAGCAAAGUUCACAGGCUAAGGGGGGUAGCAGUGGAACCAGCCACAGCCAGGGUCCUACAGGCCAGCAGUUUUUACAAUCUCUUGCCUCCAGUGCUUCUAUGAAUAGGUCAACUGCUCAUGAACCCUCCUCAGGCCUACAUUCAACUGCCAGCUCAACUGUGGAGGGAAGAUCCUUGCAUGGGUCAGGUUCUGACAGUCA
RNAcentral lists this unclassified non-coding RNA (485 nucleotides) under Hevea brasiliensis (rubber tree). The record is from RNAcentral. Lineage: Eukaryota; Viridiplantae; Streptophyta; Magnoliopsida; Malpighiales; Euphorbiaceae.